This 261-nucleotide non-coding RNA is filed under the name Thermosinus carboxydivorans. Its description in RNAcentral is "T-box sequence". It matches the Rfam family "T-box leader". Rfam says of the family: Uncharged tRNA acts as the effector for transcription antitermination of genes in the T-box leader family. T-boxes are found upstream of many aminoacyl-tRNA synthetase genes and some amino acid biosynthetic genes usually in Gram-positive bacteria. Lineage: Bacteria; Bacillati; Bacillota; Negativicutes; Selenomonadales; Sporomusaceae. The record is from RNAcentral.
UUAAAAGCUGUGAACGGGAAGAGUAGGCAUGCAAGCUUUGGCGCAGCGAGCCGGUGACCGGGCAACCGGAGGUGUGAUGACCGGCCCAAAGCCCAUGUUGAAUGGACCCGCGAGCUGCCCCCCGAACGCACAGGCAAGUAGGCCGGGCCGGUUGCCACCGUUAACAGGCUAGGGUAUCGGAUUUUGUUCCCGUACCUGAAAAAAGGGAGAACAUUAUGUUUUCCGAAUAAGGGUGGUACCGCGAACCAUUUCGCCCCUUAC